GAUGAACGCUCGCGAUAGGCUUAACACAUGCAAGUCGAGGGGCAGCGAGGGUAGCAAUACCUGUCGGCGACCGGCGCACGGGUGAGUAACGCGUAUGUAACCUGCCCGCAACAGGGGGAUAACCCGGCGAAAGUCGGACUAAUACCGCAUAAAACAGGGGUCCCGCAUGGGAAUAUUUGUUAAAGAUUUAUCGGUUGCGGAUGGGCAUGCGUACCAUUAGGUAGUUGGUGAGGUAACGGCUCACCAAGCCUUCGAUGGUUAGGGGUGCUGAGAGGAAGGUCCCCCACACUGGUACUGAGCCACGGACCAGACUCCUACGGGAGGCAGCAGUGAGGAAUAUGGUUCAAUGGGCGAGAGCCUGAACCAGCCAAGUCGCGUGAAGGAUGACUGCCCUAUGGGUGGUAAACUUCUUUUACAAGGGAAUAAAAUGAGAUACGUGUAUUUUAUUGCAUGUACCUUGGGAAUAAGCAUCGGCUAACUCCGUG
Molecule: ribosomal RNA, 485 nt
Filed under: uncultured bacterium
Lineage: Bacteria
Description: partial 16S ribosomal RNA
Rfam family: Bacterial small subunit ribosomal RNA
Source: RNAcentral